GACAGAGCCGCGCGCUGAUGCCAGCUGGCUUGGGCAGUGUGCUCGCGUGCCUGGCGGGACUGCACGGAGGAGACUGUUCUGGCACCGAGCCAGCCAGACACCUCAGAAACAUGGACAAUUUCCUUUUAAACUAAUAGCUUUGGACUUUUGUCAGGUGGAUAAGUUAAACCCUGUGAUUUUCAAGUACUCAAAUGCAAGAAAAAUCUGCAAAGGGAAAGCCCAAGUCAGUGGCACUGGAGCUCCAGAAGGGAAUGUAAACUCCUCCCCAGAUCUAUCGACCCUUACCUGCCCUGCAUUUCAACUUCCUGAAGGCAGCAAUCCAUCUGUUGGAGCCAUAUGGAAGCCUCUCCAUUGUCAAAGCCACACAUUUGGACUAAAUUGAAGCAUUUGGCAUGAAUACAAAAAAUUUAUAACAAGACAGCACAGUCUUAUUAAAGCAGAAACCAUAAAAAGAAAAAGUAUCAAAUAAAAAUAAAUUAAAAGGCUUUAAAUAUAAAUGUGCAGCUACAAGAUGAAAUGUCACAGACAAACUUAAGAAGACAAAAAACAAAAUAUGAAAAGUUUUCUAAUAGUGACCCUCACAAGAUUAUGUUAAUAUGUAGAGUGGUUAUGGAUUUAGAACAGAAAGACAGCUUGUUUGAUAAACGAGUAAAGGAAAUGAAGAGACAUUUCUCAAAAAGGUAAUACAUAUAAUCAGACUAA
RNAcentral lists this long non-coding RNA (702 nucleotides) under Fukomys damarensis (Damara mole-rat). RNAcentral's name for it is "lncRNA (ENSFDAG00000024179.1)". The record is from RNAcentral. Lineage: Eukaryota; Metazoa; Chordata; Mammalia; Rodentia; Bathyergidae.